Molecule: ribosomal RNA, 506 nt
Filed under: uncultured bacterium
Lineage: Bacteria
Description: partial 16S ribosomal RNA
Rfam family: Bacterial small subunit ribosomal RNA
Source: RNAcentral
GGUGAACGCUGGCGGUAGGCCUAACACAUGCAAGUCGAACGGCAGCACAGGAGAGCUUGCUCUCUGGGUGGCGAGUGGCGGACGGGUGAGGAAUACAUCGGAAUCUACUCUGUCGUGGGGGAUAACGUAGGGAAACUUACGCUAAUACCGCAUACGACCUACGGGUGAAAGCAGGGGACCUUCGGGCCUUGCGCGAUUGAAUGAGCCGAUGUCGGAUUAGCUAGUUGGCGGGGUAAAGGCCCACCAAGGCGACGAUCCGUAGCUGGUCUGAGAGGAUGAUCAGCCACACUGGAACUGAGACACGGUCCAGACUCCUACGGGAGGCAGCAGUGGGGAAUAUUGGACAAUGGGCGCAAGCCUGAUCCAGCCAUACCGCGUGGGUGAAGAAGGCCUUCGGGUUGUAAAGCCCUUUUGUUGGGAAAGAAAUCCAGCUGGCUAAUACCCGGCUGGGAUGACGGUACCCAAAGAAUAAGCACCGGCUAACUUCGUGCCAGCCGCCGCGGUAA